AUUAUGACAUGGUUCCGGCUGGAGCUGCAGCCAUGGGAUGACCAGCUCCUGCCGACCCACGCCAGGGAGGGAGAGCAGAGGGGCAUCAACAAACACCCCAGCCUCUCCCUUCUGCCCUCCCAGGAUUGUGGCCAGUGGCACCCCUUGGCUGGAUCCAAUCAGAGGCCAGAGGGCCAGGAAGCUCCAGUAAGGGAGCCUCUAGAAGUCAGCCUUCUGGGCACAGAGCCAGCAGCAGAACACUGUCAGUAA
RNAcentral lists this long non-coding RNA (249 nucleotides) under Mustela putorius furo (domestic ferret). RNAcentral describes it as "lncRNA (ENSMPUG00000025172.1)". The record is from RNAcentral. Lineage: Eukaryota; Metazoa; Chordata; Mammalia; Carnivora; Mustelidae.